CCCCUUUAGCUGAGAUCCCUCCAAUAACUUCAUGAUAUCCUUCCAGUGAAGAGGUAGUAGGUUGAUCUAUAUCCAUUUGUGUUAAAGGACACGAGAUGUGCUCUAUUUUCUUUCAUUUGUGGUCUGAAUUGCUUGCUGCCCCCUGUUCUCUGAAGUCACACCAUUGCACAAGUCGACUGCAGCACAGGGCUCCCUCAAAAUUUCAG
This 206-nucleotide unclassified non-coding RNA is filed under the name Hevea brasiliensis (rubber tree). The record is from RNAcentral. Lineage: Eukaryota; Viridiplantae; Streptophyta; Magnoliopsida; Malpighiales; Euphorbiaceae.